UGAGGAAUAUUGGGCAAUGCCCGCAAGGGUGACCCAGCAACGCCGCGUGGAGGAUGAAUGUCGUAAGAUUGUAAACUCCUGUUAGAGGGGAGGAAUAGUACCGGUUGGACCGGUAUAUGACUGUACCCUCAGAGAAAGCCCCGGCUAACUACGUGCCAGCAGCCGCGGUAAUACGUAGGGGGCAAGCGUUGUCCGGAUUUACUGGGUGUAAAGGGCGCGCAGGCGGAAUGGAAAGUCAGUGGUGAAAUCCUACAGCUUAACUGUAGAACUGCCUUUGAUACUUUCAUUCUUGAGUUCGGGAGAGAGAGACGGAAUUCCAGGUGUAGUGGUGAAAUACGUAGAUAUCUGGAAGAACACCAGUUGCGAAGGCGGUCUCUUGGUCCGAUACUGACGCUGAGGCGCGAAAGCGUGGGGAGCAAACA
Molecule: ribosomal RNA, 422 nt
Filed under: uncultured bacterium
Lineage: Bacteria
Description: bacterial SSU rRNA
Rfam family: Bacterial small subunit ribosomal RNA
Source: RNAcentral